Ribosomal RNA from Ipomoea nil (Japanese morning glory), 377 nucleotides. It matches the Rfam family "Eukaryotic large subunit ribosomal RNA", at positions 1493 to 1884 of the family's 3401-position model. Lineage: Eukaryota; Viridiplantae; Streptophyta; Magnoliopsida; Solanales; Convolvulaceae. The record is from Rfam.
GAUUUGGACAAGGGUCCAUGAUCCACCGUGGGCCAUAUCAAUCAAUUAAUGGGGAUUAAAUCCCUUUUUAAUUAUUCUUGGUGGAAUUAAUUUUAUAAUUAAUUCCGGGUUGAGGGAUCGUAACACGGGGUGUUACAGCAACGUUAGGGAUUCCAGAGACGUCGGCGGGGCCAUGGGAAGAGUCAUCUUUUCUGUUUAACAGCCUGCCCACCCAGGAAAUGGCUCAGCCGGAGGUAGGGCCCAGCGGCUGGAAGAGCAUUGCACGUCACGUGGUGUCCGGUGCACCCCCAACGGCCCUUGAAAAUUCGGAGGACCGAGUGCCGUCCACACCCGGUCGUACUCAUAACCGCAUCAGGUCUCCAAGGUGAACAGCCUCU